AAAAACACCGCCGAAGCCAUUGAACUAGAGUAGCGACUUUACAUAUCUCUCAAUAAUUUUCUUCACUUUCUCUCUAAUUUUUCUAUCCCAGCAAACACUGAAACAGGAAGACUUCCAUUUCUCAGUCUCUCUCCUACCUUUGUACGGUUUACCAGUCCCAACAAAUUCCAGAUCCUUUCGCUUCAAGUUCACCAUAUAAGCACAAAAUGGAUGUGUUUCUGUAUGUCUGCUUGUUUAUGAGGGAUAGUUCUGGCAGAUUUGAAGACUAGGAGGGUUGGUUUUUUCUUUGAAUUGAAAUAUGUAUGGGAGAAAGGCAUGCCAGCUGGUGAAAGAACUUGCAACUGGUGAAAAGGGGCAGCUCACUCCUUACAAUAGCGACCUGUUUGAUCAAGUAAUUGCAGAAUGUAGUCAGCAUCACCUCGAGCUUCAGUCCUUGAUAAGAAAAAUGCAGGAAGAAGGAUUGGAUGUGCAAACAACUAGAAAUGCAGAUCACUAUGGAGCUCUCAUCCACCACCUUUCUUUAGUUCGCAAUAAGCGCUGUCUAAUGGCAUGUGUGUACAACAGAGCAGAAACUAUAUGAAGUUUGAUAUGGAAAGUAGGGCCUGUGCUUCCUCAAGAAAUUCAAGAGAAGCUCAGUCACACAGAGGAAGACUAUUUUAAGAAACAUGCUGGAACUUUGCAAUCCUAUAUGUCGAGACUUGACCUUGAUUUGACUGUGGAUACGGUGCCACCCAAAGAUCCCUACAUACAGGUGAGAGUCCUUGAUGAUAUUGGUGUGGUACUAAGUGACGAUAAGACAACCAAUUUUGCUCGACACUCAAUGCACUUUCUUAAAUGAACUGGCGCUGAGCAAUUUAUUUCAAGGGGUUUGAUGGAGGAGCUCACCAGCUGACUUAACACCUUAUUUUCUCAAUGUUUAUCUCUUUCUAUGUAAAUGUAGAGAAGAGAUCAGUUAUGUCUUAGCAUUUCUUACCUGUGAAGGGUGCCCCUUUGUCAUUUUCUUUUUGAAAAUGGGCCAAACUUAGGUACAGGUUCUGCCCACAAAAGACCAUCAAGAGCUGUGAAGAGCUUUUAGAGUCUCCAGGCAAUGCUUCUAGACUGAAACCAAAUGGUUAUCUUUUUCAAUGUAAAUGGUUAGUUUGUUAUCAAUUUCUCUCAUUUACAUAUGAGACAGGACAGGACCAGUUGCAUAUAUGACAAAUCUUAGCAAUCUGAGAAAAAACCAAAUUUGAAAGAUAAAUAAUAAAGGAAACAAUUAGGAAAA
This is an RNA transcript of Quercus lobata, 1264 nucleotides long. It is a transcript of the gene named DNA replication complex GINS protein PSF1-like, with no coding region annotated. The record is from RefSeq and is a predicted model, not a curated record. The transcript is spliced from 7 exons. Lineage: Eukaryota; Viridiplantae; Streptophyta; Magnoliopsida; Fagales; Fagaceae.